RNAcentral lists this ribosomal RNA (434 nucleotides) under uncultured Oscillospiraceae bacterium. RNAcentral describes it as "bacterial SSU rRNA". It matches the Rfam family "Bacterial small subunit ribosomal RNA", at positions 341 to 792 of the family's 1533-position model. The record is from RNAcentral. Lineage: Bacteria; Bacillati; Bacillota; Clostridia; Eubacteriales; Oscillospiraceae.
ACGGAAGGCAGCAGUGGGGAAUAUUGGGCAAUGGGCGAAAGCCUGACCCAGCGACGCCGCGUGAGCGAUGAAGGUCUUCGGAUUGUAAAGCUCUGUUGACAGGGACGAUAAUGACGGUACCUGUCGAGGAAGCCACGGCUAACUACGUGCCAGCAGCCGCGGUAAUACGUAGGUGGCAAGCGUUAUCCGGAUUUACUGGGUGUAAAGGGUGUGUAGGCGGGGGAGCAAGUCAGAUGUGAAAUCUAUGGGCUUAACUCAUAGACUGCGUCUGAAACUGUUCUUCUUGAGAGUCGGAGGGGUAAUCGGAAUUCCCGGUGUAGCGGCGAAAUGCGUAGAUAUUAGGAGGAACACCAGUGGCGAAGGCGAUCUACUGGACGAUAACUGACGCUGAGGCGCGAAAGCGUGGGGAGCAAACAGGAUUAGAUACCCUGGUA